UUUUAUGGAGAGUUUGAUCCUGGCUCAGGAUGAACGCUGGCGGCGUGCCUAAUACAUGCAAGUCGAGCGAACGGACGAGAAGCUUGCUUCUCUGAUGUUAGCGGCGGACGGGUGAGUAACACGUGGAUAACCUACCUAUAAGACUGGGAUAACUUCGGGAAACCGGAGCUAAUACCGGAUAAUAUUUUGAACCGCAUGGUUCAAAAGUGAAAGACGGUC
RNAcentral lists this ribosomal RNA (219 nucleotides) under Staphylococcus aureus. RNAcentral's name for it is "partial 16S ribosomal RNA". It matches the Rfam family "Bacterial small subunit ribosomal RNA", at positions 1 to 212 of the family's 1533-position model. Lineage: Bacteria; Bacillati; Bacillota; Bacilli; Caryophanales; Staphylococcaceae. The record is from RNAcentral.